Long non-coding RNA from Chelonia mydas (Green sea turtle), 2129 nucleotides. RefSeq lists it as uncharacterized. NCBI's taxonomy places the organism in Eukaryota, Metazoa, Chordata, Testudines, Cheloniidae. The record is from RefSeq and is a predicted model, not a curated record. The transcript has 5 exons.
CAGGCUUCAGUCAUUUCCUGGGAUGAGGGAGGCUGACAGGGGCAAGGAGACAAUCCAUGGGCAAGUUUCAACACUUGGCCAGUGUUCACAGACAAGUUAUAUAGCCACCCCCUGAAGACAGGAAUUAUAGUUGGAAUGUUUACCAGUGUAAUGGGGAUUCUGGGGAUCCUUGCUGCAAGAAGAGGUUCCAAAAUUUUCUUGGUAAGGGAACACACCACAAAGCCUUCUUCCCACCCCCCCCAAGAUUGGAAAAUAUCUUCUUUCCCUAUUGGUCCCUUUGGUCAGGUGCCAACCAGGUUAUUUGAGCUUCUUAACCCCUUACAGCUGCUCCAUGAAACAUUCACCACUCUCCCGGAAAGGCUGCUUUUGCUUCCUGCUGAUAAUGCAUAGCAUGUGCUUCAAGCUGGAAGAGCACUGUAUAAACAUUACUCAUCCUCACUACAUCUGCAGUUUGCAAGAGGGGAAUCUGAAACUCAGUGUCUGGGUGACUUGCUCAAGGCUACACAGGAGCUCCUGGCUACCGUUACCUACCCUACAUAUCUACAGAGACUUCAUAGCACUAGACAGAUAAUAUAUACUGUAGGUCUUCCAAACCUGUGUUCCCAGUGCAAUGAUGAUUGGAAUGACCUAUGGUGGAUGCUCUGGAGUUGUUCUGAACAUCUCAAGACCUUUUUCUUCUCCGAAAUGGCCCUAGGUGUGUUGACAUCCUGAGCAAAGAAGAAAUUGGGUGUCCUUGUCACCCCUAAAUACAUCCCAGAAUCCUUUUCAUCAUUUACAGAAGUGAUCUCAAUAAUGGCUUUAGGGACUCUUCUUAGCUCUGCCCGCUUCUUGCCUGGAACUGCGUUACCAUGAUAGCUCCAGCAGUAACCCUAACCCUGACAUUCCCUUAGAUGUGAUGUUCUGCAUAGUCACCCGUAUCCUUGAACCCAAAGCCAGCACUCUAAUUUCAAGAAGGAAUGGAUCUCGAUCAUGUGUUUCUUGAUGAUCCUCAUGACACCUGAACUACCUUUUGUAGAGGGUGGCCUAGAUGACCACAUAGAGGCAUCUAAGCAUUCAUUGGAAGUUACUUUUCAAGGGAAAUAAUUUUAUUCUUGUAGCUUUAAUUUGCUUUGGUAUUGUUUGGCUCAAGUCUUGCUGCCCAUGCUGUCAGUUUCCUGAUAAAUUGAAUAAUGUUCUUAGCAUAUGGAGCCCUUUUUCUUCAUAUUGUAUCCAUUACCAGGCUUUGCUGUCUUGUUUUCUGUGUUGCCUUGAUUCAGGAAAACACGUAAACACUUUAAGCAUGUGCUUGAACACCUUUUCUGAAUAGGAAAGCUUUUGCAAUAGGGCCUGUGUCUGCAACAUUUGCUCGGCCAUGCCAUACUAUUUUAUUCUCCUACUCCAUCGCAAGCCUGUGCUACAUGAUUCCAUGUUUAGGGCUUAAUCCUGUAGAGUGCGGAGUGCUCUCCACAGCUCAGCUGGGCCCGAGCCAGGGAAGGAGGCAGAUGUCUCAAGCCCUCUGCAGAGGACGUGAGGCCAACUGAGCUGAGCCAAUGGACGGCAGUAGGAAGUAGCCCAGGAGAACCAGAUAUUAGUCUGGUUGUGCUGCCAGGAAGCGAGUCAGUGUGAUUUGGCGGGAUCCCUGCUGAUCCAGUGGUGGAACCACCCACCACUGCUAGGGCCCUAAGCUGGGACCCACUGGAGUAGGGUGGACCUGGGACCCCCUAAACCCCUGCUGCCAACCCAACAGCUGGCAUUUGGCCACAUGCUUAUCUUAAACCUUUAGGCCUGAAAUCUCUUCUUGCUGUCUGUCCUAACCAGGAGGCUUUGGGCUAAAGACUGUUCCUUGCUCUGCCCUGCCCAGAGGGUCAGAACACUAGACUGCUAACUACUGUCUGCCCCAGCCAGAAGACUAUGGCUAUAGACUGUGUGCUGCUCUGCCCUGCCCAGAGGACCAGAGCCAUAGACUGCUAACUGACUGCUGUUUGUUGCCUGACGCAGUGAGUCAGAGUGGCCUCCUUCCAAGCCUGAGAUGGAGGGACCACUACAGCUUCCUAUGCUAGAAAACAGUAAAGAGAUGCACAGUAUAUAAAAGAAAUGGAAGCUAGAAUGGUCACAAUGUUAUUGGAAAUAAAAAAUGCUCUCGGCCUAGA